CGUCUUUCUGUUAUAAAUACUACCGUAGGAAUUUCAAGUAAAUGCUUCUAAUUUUUGAGUAACAACUCUUUCACUUAUUUGUUACAAUGAAAGUUAUCGAUGGACGCUCGUAUCUGAAGCCUGACACGCCUUGGAGCAAGGAGUGCGUGCCGGGCUGCGAUUGCCACGAUAUCUACAUAGAUAAUUCCUGUAUCAAGUUAUAAGAUGGAUGAAAUUGGUGCUUCGUUUAAAUAUUAUUGGCGUUUAUACAGGGUCAUUUCGACAUUGCGUUACUAAAUGAAACCACAAGUUCGUGGUG
Long non-coding RNA from Manduca sexta (tobacco hornworm), 298 nucleotides. RefSeq lists it as uncharacterized. NCBI's taxonomy places the organism in Eukaryota, Metazoa, Arthropoda, Insecta, Lepidoptera, Sphingidae. The record is from RefSeq and is a predicted model, not a curated record. The transcript is spliced from 3 exons.